This 468-nucleotide ribosomal RNA is filed under the name uncultured bacterium. RNAcentral describes it as "partial 16S ribosomal RNA". It matches the Rfam family "Bacterial small subunit ribosomal RNA", at positions 28 to 507 of the family's 1533-position model. The record is from RNAcentral.
GACGAACGCUGGCGGCGUGCUUAACACAUGCAAGUCGAACGGACAGGCCCUGCUUUUGUGGGGUGCUCGAUUGGCGAACGGGUGAGUAACACGUGAGUAACCUGCCCUUGACUUUGGGAUAACUUCAGGAAACUGGGGCUCAUACCGGAUAGGAGCUCCUGCUGCAUGGUGGGGGUUGGAAAGUUUCGGCGGUUGGGGAUGGACUGGCGGCUUAUCAGCUUGUUGGUGGGGUAGUGGCUUACCAAGGCUUUGACGGCUAGCCCGCCUGAGAGGGUGACCGGCCACAUUGGGCCUGAGAUAGGGCCCAGACUCCUACGGGAGGCAGCAGUGGAGAGUCUUGCACAAUGGGCGGAAGCGUGAGGUAGCAGCGCCGCGUGCGGGAUGACGGCCUUCGGGUUGUAAACCGCUUUCGCCUGUGACGAAGCGUGAGUGACGGUAAUGGGUAAAGAAGCACCGGCUAACUACGUG